Molecule: ribosomal RNA, 253 nt
Filed under: uncultured bacterium
Lineage: Bacteria
Description: partial 16S ribosomal RNA
Rfam family: Bacterial small subunit ribosomal RNA
Source: RNAcentral
UACGAAGGGGGCUAGCGUUGCUCGGAAUCACUGGGCGUAAAGCGCACGUAGGCGGAUCUUUAAGUCAGGGGUGAAAUCCUGGAGCUCAACUCCAGAACUGCCUUUGAUACUGGGGAUCUCGAGUCCGGAAGAGGUGAGUAGAACUCCGAGUGUAGAGGUGAAAUUCGUAGAUAUUCGCAAGAACACCAGUGGCGAAGGCGGCUCACUGGCCCGGUACUGACGCUGAGGUGCGAAAGCGUGGGGAGCGAACAGG